UACGGAGGGUGCGAGCGUUGUCCGGAAUCACUGGGCGUAAAGGCGCGUAGGUGGCGCGGCAAGUCAACGGUGAAAGCUCGACGCUCAACGUCGAGUCGGCCGUCGAUACUGCCGCGCUGGAGCACUGUAGAGGCUCAUGGAAUUCCGGGUGUAGCGGUGGAAUGCGUAGAGAUCCGGAAGAACACCGGUGGCGAAGGCGGUGAGCUGGGCAGUAGCUGACACUGAGGCGCGGACAGCGUGGGGAGCAAACAG
This 252-nucleotide ribosomal RNA is filed under the name uncultured bacterium. RNAcentral describes it as "partial 16S ribosomal RNA". It matches the Rfam family "Bacterial small subunit ribosomal RNA", at positions 524 to 775 of the family's 1533-position model. The record is from RNAcentral.